UACGGGAGGCAGCAGUGGGGGAUAUUGCGCAAUGGGGGCAACCCUGACGCAGCAACGCCGCGUGAAGGAUGAGGGUUUUCGGAUUGUAAACUUCUUUUAUCAGGGACGAAACAUGACGGUACCUGAUGAAUAAGCUCCGGCUAACUACGUGCCAGCAGCCGCGGUAAU
This 168-nucleotide ribosomal RNA is filed under the name uncultured rumen bacterium. RNAcentral's name for it is "partial 16S ribosomal RNA". It matches the Rfam family "Bacterial small subunit ribosomal RNA", at positions 340 to 524 of the family's 1533-position model. The record is from RNAcentral.